GGUUGUAAACUGCUUUUAUACGGGAAGAAACCCACCUACGUGUAGGUGGCUGACGGUACCGUAAGAAUAAGGACCGGNNNACUCCGUGCCAGCAGCCGCGGUAAUACGGAGGGUCCGAGCGUUAUCCGGAAUCAUUGGGUUUAAAGGGUCCGCAGCGGCCAGAUAAGUCAGUGGUGAAAUUCCGUGGCUCAACCACGGAACUGCCAUUGAUACUGUUUGGCUUGAAUCAGUUCGAGGAUGCCGGAAUGUGUGGUGUAGCGGUGAAAUGCAUAGAUAUCACACAGAACACCAAUUGCGAAGGCAGGUGUCCAGAACUGUAUUGACGCUGAUGGACGAAAGCGUGGGUAGCGAACAGGAUUAGAUACCCUGGUAGUCCACGCCGUAAACGAUGGUCACUAGCUGUCCGGACUUAGGUCUGGG
RNAcentral lists this ribosomal RNA (420 nucleotides) under uncultured bacterium Pleur2-d1. Its description in RNAcentral is "bacterial SSU rRNA". It matches the Rfam family "Bacterial small subunit ribosomal RNA", at positions 421 to 843 of the family's 1533-position model. The record is from RNAcentral.